CUGGAUAUAAGCUGAUCUGCUUUGGGCCCCAUAUAAUUGCAUGUGACACCAAAUGGGAAAAGAGGAUGAAUAUUCUCCUUCCCCUCCCUUGGCGUGAAACUCAGCAGAAUUUUGACACUGUGACAGAAUUUUGGCACUGUGACAGAAUUUUGACAUUGUGACAGAAUUUUGACAUUGUGAUGACGGAGUCCAGGCAGGUCACAGGUGCUGCACUUGAAUGGGGGAUAAUUGAUAAGUGUGAAUGAGAGGAGUAGCAGGAAGAGGAUGAUUUGCCAUUUUGCAAAAAGAGGAGUCACAGAGGGAUCCUAGUGAAGAGGAUUAUAACUUUGCCUGUUUUGUGAUGCGGAGGUGAUGUCAUGUUGUUCUACCAUUUUAUCAUUGUUCCUUCUGAGCCUGAGUGUUCUUUCUCUUGAAGAUUCAAGUGAACCAGGGAAGGAGAAUGACAUCAGACUGGGCUUGUGCCUGAUAAUUCAUUUCUGAAGUGCUUCAAGAUUGACGCAUCAGAUUUGCACAAUGUGCCACUUUAGGAGAUUAUUUCUUCCUUCCUUCAGCCAGACAGAAGACUGCAGUAGGGAUAUGGUUCCUGUUUGCCUAUUUCCAUCCACAACUCUGCCAGAGACGAAAGCAGUGUUUGAAACAAUUCACCAAGAUUUCCAUCUGGAAUCAUCAAGAAUGGAAUUGAUCAAAUUCCUUAAGAAAUUUACUUAAAGUCAUGAUUUUGACAGCCUAGUGCUACCUGGAAAAGGGACAGCAGCAGCCUGGAGCAGUUUUCUAGCUAACAAGAAUUUUGUUAGCUAUGUGGCCACCUAGUGGCUCUUCCAUGGAUGUCGCUGAUGCAUUGUCAGGGCAAUAACAGAGAAAUAGAGGCCACCAUCUGUGUGAAUACUUCACUGUGAUUAUCUCUCACCAUCAUCAAAUAGUUCAGAGCACUGAUCCUCACGAGUUGGACAUUUCCCCAUGAAACAGUAGCCUUCUGAGUUCUUGCAAGGAAAUCCAUUGACCCUGAACUGGUCCUUAGGACAGGCAGGCGAGUGGCCAGUGCACAUCUCAGGAAAAUCACAUUCAUCUUUCGCCGGUCUGCAUAUGGACCCUGCUUUUUUUAUCUGUUGAGGAAAAACAAAGAGACUAAAUCCUGGAUACAUUUAGGGUCAUACUGCUUCCCUGUACUGAAGUGUGAUGUGAGACUAUUCAACUGCUGAAGAUCUGAUUUUACCUUUUGCUCAAGCUGUCCAUUAUUUCAGGCUGACUUUUAUUUUUUAAUGUAUCAUUAAAUAACAUCAAAAUGGUAACUUAUGCCCUAUUUUCUCAAACAAAAUAAAAACUCAAAGAAAAUGGAGUGUG
RNAcentral lists this long non-coding RNA (1341 nucleotides) under Homo sapiens (human). Its description in RNAcentral is "HSALNT0345738". The record is from RNAcentral. Lineage: Eukaryota; Metazoa; Chordata; Mammalia; Primates; Hominidae.